Molecule: long non-coding RNA, 229 nt
Filed under: Linum usitatissimum (flax)
Lineage: Eukaryota; Viridiplantae; Streptophyta; Magnoliopsida; Malpighiales; Linaceae
Description: long non-coding RNA (LUSI_LNC002369)
Source: RNAcentral
GGUUUAUUGUUAUCAAUGGCUGGGUUUGUAUUUGGGCAUAUUGGUGUAAUAUUUUUUAUUUUUUUAUGUUUUUUUUGGCUAUAACUCUUUUUUGUAUUCUCUCUUUCAGUAAUAUAUUGAUGUCAGGGUUUUCAAGCUCAAACAGUCAAAUGAUUCUGAGAUACCUCAGAGUCGAAUUCUCUCGGGUCACUUGGCCUUCACUACUCAGCUUUGGUUCGCUGGUUAGUCG